Molecule: ribosomal RNA, 253 nt
Filed under: uncultured bacterium
Lineage: Bacteria
Description: partial 16S ribosomal RNA
Rfam family: Bacterial small subunit ribosomal RNA
Source: RNAcentral
UACGGGGGGGGCAAGCGUUGUUCGGAAUUACUGGGCGUAAAGGGCUCGUAGGUGGCCAACUAAGUCAGACGUGAAAUCCCUCAGCUUAACUGGGGAACUGCGUCUGAUACUGGAUGGCUUGAGUUUGGGAGAGGGAUGCGGAAUUCCAGGUGUAGCGGUGAAAUGCGUAGAUAUCUGGAGGAACACCGAUGGCGAAGGCAGGUCUCUGGGCAUUAACUGACGCUGAGGAGCGAAAGCAUGGGGAGCGAACAGG